GCCUAGCCGUAAACAUUGAUAGAUCUAUCCGCCCGGGUACUACGAGCAUCAGCUUGAAACCCAAAGGACUUGGCGGUACUUUAGAUCCCCCUAGAGGAGCCUGUUCUAUAACCGAUAACCCCCGUUCAACCUCACCCUCCCUUGCCCGCCUAUAUACCGCCGUCGUAAGCUUACCCUGUGAAGGCCUAAUAGUAAGCAAAAUUGGCACUGCCCAGAACGUCAGGUCGAGGUGUAGCAUAUGAGAGGGGAAGAGAUGGGCUACAUUCGCUCGAGUACUGAAAGAAGGAGGAUUUAGCAGUAAGUCGAAAAUAGAGUGUUCUACUGAAGCUGGCUCUGAAGUGCGU
RNAcentral lists this ribosomal RNA (344 nucleotides) under Scomberomorus maculatus (Spanish mackerel). Its description in RNAcentral is "partial 12S ribosomal RNA". It matches the Rfam family "Bacterial small subunit ribosomal RNA", at positions 794 to 1384 of the family's 1533-position model. The record is from RNAcentral. Lineage: Eukaryota; Metazoa; Chordata; Actinopteri; Scombriformes; Scombridae.